CUUCUUCUAAGAAGAGGUAAUGGUCCUUUGACGCCAGUAGAAAGGAGAGGCUAUUGAUAUUUUUUUCCCAUCUUUCCUUCUUUUCCUUCUCUUCUUUUUUUUAAAGAUUUUAUUUAUUUAUUUGAGAAAUAGAGAGAGAGUGAGAGAGAGACCACAAGCAGGGCGGGGGGGCAGAGGGAGAAGUAGGCUCCCCAUUAAGCAGGAAGCUGGACAUAGGACUUGCUCCCAGGACCCCCAGGAUCAUGACCUGAGUUAAAGGCAGAUGCUUAAUCGACUGAGCCACCCAAGUGCCCCUUCUCUUGUCUUCUUUCUCUGUCCCUCCUUCCCUCUCUCUUCCCCCACAUAAUCACUUCCAUCCUGACGCGGUGAGCUCUGAUGCUCUAUCUGGCACCGUACAAAGCUCUUCUUACACAGAUUAUCUCAUUUGCUUCUCACAAAAACCUUCUCAGGUGGGUCCUGUUCAUACUACCUUUUCUAGAUAAGGAAACUGAAGAUUAGCAAAAGUCCCUAGCUGGCUCAAAGCUGAACAGUUAGCUUCUACCUCUCAAUCCCCUCCCAUUCCAUAGCAUCCACUGCGCAGGAAAACUGGAUCUAAGGUGGCCAGUGACGCGCUCCUGUCUCGAAGAGAAGUGGCUGGGAGCUGAGGGAAGAGGAAAGCUCUCCUGGCUGUGAGCAAUGAGCCAUGGCUUCCCGCAGACACCGUCAGAGCUGCACCUAGCCCUAGACCUUGGAUGGAGAUGGCAGGGAAGGCCCUUCAUGCAGAGAAAACCAAGUCAGCAAGCUACACUGUUGCUCGAAAGUCAACGAGGGUGUCUUUACGGCUUCUUUAUGGCAAGAGAGAAUGGAGAGAGAGCACGAGGGGCAGAAGGAGAAGCAGACUCCCUGAUGUGGGAAGCCUGAUGUGGGAUUCGAUCCACCAACCCUGGGAUCAUGACCUGAACAGAAGGCAGACACUUCACUGACUGAGCCACCCAGGUAUCCCUAGCUUUAUGUUUCAGUAAGAGCCAUGAGCCUGACUUGGCCCCUACAAUCUCAUAGAAAAUGUUUCAUUUCCCCCUACCCUUUCCCCCCAAGCCCAACAUUUUCAAAGAG
RNAcentral lists this long non-coding RNA (1092 nucleotides) under Mustela putorius furo (domestic ferret). RNAcentral describes it as "lncRNA (ENSMPUG00000027157.1)". Lineage: Eukaryota; Metazoa; Chordata; Mammalia; Carnivora; Mustelidae. The record is from RNAcentral.